AUGACGGUAGCAUGCAGCAACAGGUCGCUCUUCCUCCUCGCCGUGAUCCCGAACGCCUCCGCCAUGUCAAGCUCCUCCGUGCCGCCGGGGAGCUCCCAGUCGAAAUGGAAGAGGAGGCUCGCCAGCGCGAGCUCCAUGACAGCGAGCGCGAACGCGAUCCCGGGGCAAAUCCUGCGCCCCGCGCCGAACGGCACGAGCUCGAAGUCCUCCCCUCCGAAGUCCACCGCCGCCACGGAGUCUUCCUCGAACCUCUCCGGCCGAAACUCCUCGGCGUCUGGGCCCCAGCUCGCCGCGUCACGGCCGAUGGCCCACGCAUUGACCAGCACCAUGGCGCCCUGGGGCACGUCGUACCCCAGGACGCGGCGGGUCUCCCGGCACUCCCGAGGAACCAGCAGCGGCACCGUUGCGUGCAGCCGGAGCGUCUCCUUGAUCACCAGCCGCAGGUACGGCAGCUCCUGCAGGGCCUCCUCCCGGACGCGGCUCUGCCCGGCGAGCGCGCCCCGCACCUCUGCCUGCGCCCUCCGGAGCGCCGGCCGGUUCCGCAUGAGCUCCGCCGUGGCCCACUGCAGCGUCGACGCCGAGGACUCGCUCCCGGCCCCGAAGAGAUCCCUCACCACGGCACGGAUGGUCCCGAUGUCGAGAGGCGCGCUGCCACCGCCGUCCAGAAGCACAUCCAGGAUGUCCGCCUUCUCCUCCUCCCUUGCAGCGCCGGCCGCCUUCCUCGUGCGUUUCUCGUCGAUGACGCCGUCCAUGAGCCGGGUCAUCUCCCGGACCACCGCCUCCACCCUGCGCGCCGUCCCGCUGAGCGCACGCGCGAGGCGCGACGACGGGAACAGGUCGGCGAGGCUGAACCCGGCGGACACUCUGAUGCCCUCGUCCAGGCACUCCAGGAAGGCGUCGCGGUCCGCGAUCCGAUCGCCGACCAUGGCGCGCACCGCCACAUCGGCGACGUACGUGGUGACGAGGGAGCUGAUGUUCACGGCGGCUCCUGCCGCUGCGUCCGCGGCCACAGAGGCGACGAGGACGGCGGCCUCGGCCUCGCGCGUCCCCCGGAACGACCGGACCCGCGGCGCGCCGAGCAGCUCCGUGACGCAGAGCUUGCGGACGCGGCGCCAGUGGUCGCCAUACGGCGCGAGGGCGAUUCCGAGGCCGUCGGCGGUGAGCGUGGCGAUGGUGUUCGUUCUCGGCCGCGUGGCGAAGGAGACGUCGUGGGUCUUCAUCACCUCCCUCGCCGCGUCCGCGGACGAGGCCACGACAACGGGGAGCUCGCCCAUGCGGAGCAGCAUGAGCGGGCCGUGCCGGAGGGCGAGGUCGCGCAUGGCGCGGUGCGGGAGCGCGCCCACGAGGUGGUGCAUGCUGCCGAUCACCGGCAGCUGCCAUGGCCCCGGAGGCGGGGUCGGCCGCAUGCCGACGUACUGCUUGCGACGCACCCUGAGUUUGACGACGAGGAGAAUGGGGAGCAGUAGGAUGGCGGCGGCCAAGAGGAGGCCAUGGUUCUCGUGGUCGGCUGCCAUGGCUUGGGACCAAUCGAGCGUAGUUAUGUUUCAGCUAGUAGUUGCACAGCGUUGCUCUCCGAGAAUAGUUAGUUAG
This 1590-nucleotide ribosomal RNA is filed under the name Triticum aestivum (bread wheat). RNAcentral's name for it is "partial small subunit ribosomal RNA". Lineage: Eukaryota; Viridiplantae; Streptophyta; Magnoliopsida; Poales; Poaceae. The record is from RNAcentral.